This 24-nucleotide small nuclear RNA is filed under the name Arabidopsis thaliana (thale cress). RNAcentral's name for it is "snRNA_03628". The record is from RNAcentral. Lineage: Eukaryota; Viridiplantae; Streptophyta; Magnoliopsida; Brassicales; Brassicaceae.
UUUCAAUUAGUUGUAGAUUAGAGU